GACGAACGCUGGCGGCGUGCCUAAUACAUGCAAGUCGAGCGAAGUUUUUCUGGUGCUUGCACCGGAAAAACUUAGCGGCGCACGGGUGAGUCACACGUAAAGAACCUGCCUCAUAGACUGGGACAACUAUUGGAAACGAUAGCUAAUACCGGAUAACAGCAUUACCUGCAUGGUUGAUGUUUAAAAGUUGGUUUUGCUAACACUAUGAGAUGGCUUUGCGGUGCAUUAGCUAGUUGGUGGGGUAAAGGCCUACCAAGGCGACGAUGCAUAGCCGACCUGAGAGGGUGAUCGGCCACACUGGGACUGAGACACGGCCCAGACUCCUACGGGAGGCAGCAGUAGGGAAUCUUCCGCAAUGGGCGAAAGCCUGACGGAGCAACGCCGCGUGAGUGAAGAAGGAUUUCGGUUCGUAAAGCUCUGUUGUUAGGGAAGAAUGAUUGUGUAGUAAAUAUACACAGUAGAGACGGUACCUAACCAGAAAGCCACGGCUAACUACGUG
This 499-nucleotide ribosomal RNA is filed under the name uncultured bacterium. RNAcentral's name for it is "partial 16S ribosomal RNA". It matches the Rfam family "Bacterial small subunit ribosomal RNA", at positions 28 to 507 of the family's 1533-position model. The record is from RNAcentral.